UUCUCGAAUUUAGAAGAGCUAUUUAUAUUGUUGUAAUAAACACUUAUAAUACGAGGUUAGAUGCAAAUAUAUCUAGUUUUUUAAGAAGAUUCAAUCUGUUUAUAUUUUAAGGGAUGAGCUUUAAAUAGGAUUAGAAGUUUUGUUAUAUUUAUUUUAUUAAAAUGCGAAUUUUAAUUUUUUCGGCAAUUAUGAUAAAAUUAGUAAAAGGUUAAUCAAAGGAAUUCGGCAAAUGUUUUUCACCUGUUUAUUAAAAACAUGGCCUAUUGAUUAUUAUUUUAGGUCUUGCCUGCCCACUGAGGCCGCGGUAUUUUGACCGUGCAAAGGUAGCGUAAUAAUUAGUUUCUUAAUUAGAAGCUUGUAUGAACGGUAGAAUGAGAAAACGACUGUCUCUGGUUAAUUGAAUUUUAUCUUUAAGUAAAAAAGCUUAAAUUUUAUUGAAAGACGAGAAGACCCUGUAGAAUUUUAUUUUGGUUGGGGAGAUUGAAAAAUUAAAUUAACUUUUGAUUAUAAGAUAAAAUUACCUCAGGGAUAACAGCGUAAUCUUCUUUAGAGUUCUAAUCGAAAAGAAGGUUUGCGACCUCGA
RNAcentral lists this ribosomal RNA (583 nucleotides) under Pyrestes haematicus. RNAcentral's name for it is "partial large subunit ribosomal RNA". The stretch from base 201 to 428 matches the Rfam family "Archaeal large subunit ribosomal RNA", at positions 1785 to 2143 of the family's 2987-position model. Lineage: Eukaryota; Metazoa; Arthropoda; Insecta; Coleoptera; Cerambycidae. The record is from RNAcentral.